AAGAUGGACCAAAGGGCGAGACCAUUUUUUAAAAGAUGUUUUUACAGCCCUUUUUUUCAUCCUGGGAUGUAUUCUUAAUUAAGGAAGGACCGCACCAAACACACAUUUACCCAAAGAUACUCCAACGUCACCGAAAGACGUAGAAAAACACCGGACGUGACCCCUGAACUGCGCUCCUCCCAAACGAAUAGCCGUCGUUCUGGCGGCAAAAGGACGAGGUCGGUGCCGCCAAACAGUGGAGCUAAUGUCUCUAAAGCGGGGCAGCGUGCAAGGAACUCCAAAAAGGCUCUCCCCUGGCCCCGGGCCCGCAGUACAAGGCAGUCUGUUGUAUCAGUCGACACCCCCAGCGGCAGCAGCAUCACACAGAUGCAUUCUUGGCUGCAGAUAAUAAACACAGAGCGCAGUGGACACUUCAGAGCCGGCUCCACGCGGCUGAGAGGGGAGGACCACACUCAGCAGGGACAGGAUAUGGACUCCUGCAAUUAGUGAAACUGUACAUUCCACAGGGUAUCAAUUACACUAUGUAUACAGUGUGGUUACGCUUACGCAACCUCUGUGCCCAACCACAUAUGUUUUUGAUAUUUAUCUCUGAAGUAAUACCUUUGGAUUAAGCCACGCCUCCCUUACGGUGGCUACACUUGUCAAUCUGUCAC
Molecule: long non-coding RNA, 653 nt
Organism: Pungitius pungitius (ninespine stickleback)
Lineage: Eukaryota; Metazoa; Chordata; Actinopteri; Perciformes; Gasterosteidae
Exons: 3
Source: RefSeq, a predicted model, not a curated record